This 254-nucleotide ribosomal RNA is filed under the name uncultured bacterium. RNAcentral's name for it is "partial 16S ribosomal RNA". It matches the Rfam family "Bacterial small subunit ribosomal RNA", at positions 524 to 776 of the family's 1533-position model. The record is from RNAcentral.
UACGGGGGGAGCAAGCGUUGUUCGGAUUUACUGGGCGUAAAGGGCGCGUAGGCGGCCACCGCACGUCAAUUGUGAAAUCUCCGGGCUUAACUCGGAAAGGUCAACUGAUACUGCGGGGCUAGAGUGCGGAAGGGGCAACUGGAAUUCCUGGUGUAGCGGUGGAAUGCGCAGAUAUCAGGAGGAACACCGAUGGCGAAGGCAGCUCGCUGGGACGGUACUGACGCUGAGGCGCGAAAGCGUGGGGAGCGAACAGG